UACGUAGGUGGCAAGCGUUAUCCGGAAUUAUUGGGCGUAAAGCGCGCGCAGGCGGUUUCUUAAGUCUGAUGUGAAAGCCCACGGCUCAACCGUGGAGGGUCAUUGGAAACUGGGGAACUUGAGUGCAGAAGAGAAAAGCGGAAUUCCACGUGUAGCGGUGAAAUGCGUAGAGAUGUGGAGGAACACCAGUGGCGAAGGCGGCUUUUUGGUCUGUAACUGACGCUGAGGCGCGAAAGCGUGGGAGCAAACAGG
This 252-nucleotide ribosomal RNA is filed under the name uncultured bacterium. RNAcentral describes it as "partial 16S ribosomal RNA". It matches the Rfam family "Bacterial small subunit ribosomal RNA", at positions 524 to 776 of the family's 1533-position model. The record is from RNAcentral.